Molecule: ribosomal RNA, 276 nt
Filed under: Blackburnia agilis
Lineage: Eukaryota; Metazoa; Arthropoda; Insecta; Coleoptera; Carabidae
Description: partial 28S ribosomal RNA
Source: RNAcentral
GAUGGUUCGAUUAGUCUUUCGCCCCUAUACCCAGUUCAUACGAUCGAUUUGCACGUCAGAAUCGCUACGGACCUCCAUCAGGGUUUCCCCUGACUUCAUCCUGACCAGGCAUAGUUCACCAUCUUUCGGGUCCCAGCGUGUACGCUCUUGGUGCGCCACAACUUGCAAUAAGUAUGCAACGCCCCGGGAAUUCGGCAAUUAUACAUAUAUACAUUCACUUUCAUUACGCCUUUAGGUUUAUUAUAAAUACCCAAUGACUUGCGCACAUGCUAGAUG